RNAcentral lists this transfer RNA (85 nucleotides) under Pantoea sp. Mhis. Its description in RNAcentral is "tRNA-Leu". It matches the Rfam family "tRNA". Rfam says of the family: Transfer RNA (tRNA) molecules are approximately 80 nucleotides in length. Their secondary structure includes four short double-helical elements and three loops (D, anti-codon, and T loops). Further hydrogen bonds mediate the characteristic L-shaped molecular structure. tRNAs have two regions of fundamental functional importance: the anti-codon, which is responsible for specific mRNA codon recognition, and the 3' end, to which the tRNAs corresponding amino acid is attached (by aminoacyl-tRNA synthetases). tRNAs cope with the degeneracy of the genetic code in two manners: having more than one tRNA (with a specific anti-codon) for a particular amino acid; and 'wobble' base-pairing, i.e. permitting non-standard base-pairing at the 3rd anti-codon position. Lineage: Bacteria; Pseudomonadati; Pseudomonadota; Gammaproteobacteria; Enterobacterales; Erwiniaceae. The record is from RNAcentral.
GCGGGAGUGGCGAAAAUGGUAGACGCACCAGAUUUAGGUUCUGGCACUUUUAAGUUUGCGAGUUCAAAUCUCGCCUCCCGCACCA